GCCUCAGCCUCCCGAGUAGCUGGGACUACAGGCGCCCGCCAUCACGCCCGGCUAAUUUUGUGUAUUUUUUAGUAGAGACGGGGUUUCACCGUGUUAGCCAGGAUGGUCUCGAUCUCCUGACCUCGUGAUCCGCCCGCCUCGGCCUCCCAAAGUGCUGGGAUUACAGUCUGGAGCCACCGCGCCCGGCCCUGAGGUUGGGUCUUUGAGAUAUUGACGUUUACACAAAGAGGUCAUCAUCAUCUGAUAUUUGAGAAGGACUCUGGAGUCGGACCAAAGGCCUAUUGAAAGAUCCAAGCCACUGCAAAUUGACUUGGCAGAGGAAGAUCCUCUUGAAUAGGAAAGAAAACCAGCACAGUGUCACUUGCAGCAGCAAACACCAUAUGCUUGACUCAGCAUCCAUUACUGGGGAGGUGACAGAGCCAGAGAAACACAAAUCUGACAAGUAGGGCAAUCCUUUGUCAAUCGGAGCACAACAUUUCUCUCUCUCAAAUCAGUUUAAAGGACAUGUUCUUUGCCAAGAAGCUCCACAGAAACCUGAAAAUGUAUGCUUUUAUUAUGAUGGGUUUUCAUUUCAAUUUUGAAAUUCUGGGACAACUGCUUAAAAAGGAAAAGAAAAGAUGUGAUAGAAGGGAAAGCACAUUCAGCUAAGACAGGUUUCUUGUCAAGAUCUAAAAUAUGUCAAGACACACUUCUGUCUUUCUUGAGGAUAGAAAGUAAUUGGGAGGGGAAGGAAUACACAGAACCCUUGAAUGAGACUUGCUGUUCCUGGCUGCUUAGACUUUAGAGAAUAAUGAAAAAUAAAUUUACUGUUGGCUAAAAUGUUUGUGAAAAUGGGCAUUGUAUUUCAGGGGAUUUCAAAGCUGUAAUGAAUAAAUAAGAUUAGUUUCAUCAUGAAAGCAGUAGUUUUUAAGGGAAUUUUGAAUAAAUCACAUGAGCAAGAAAAUAGAAGUAUGAUUUGAGAAUUUAAAUUAUACAUUUUUUUGAAUGAGUGCAGUAGCAGAGUAACAGUGAAACAGCUUGAGAAAACUUUUUCUCCUCCUUUUCAUAGCCCCUGAACCAAAUGAUAAAAUAAUAAAUUAAAGUAUAUAGAAUUAAACUUAAUAAUAAGUGGAAGUGGUUUUAUAAAGAUAAGGGAAUUUCAGAAAAUGCAAGACAUAUUUAUCAAGAGAAUAUAUGUUGUAUAUAACAUUGUAUUUGAUACUUUUUUGAUUGAUUACAUUUGUUAAGUUAUAAAAUACCUUUUCAUUGAAAUAAAUCAAAGUUGUAUAUAGGAAAAUGUCCAUAUUCCCCUCCUCACCUUUAACCCUACCCCUCUGGUAAUCAGUACUAACAACAUGGAGUGUAUCCCUUCACAUUUCAUCUUGAUAACCAAUAAAAAUGUUUUAAUUAUUCUUAGACCAAACUUGGAAUUCAUUGCAAACAUGAAUCAUGUAUGAUUGAACUAUGUACCUUAGUAAAUAAAUAAUAAUCAAAAUAAACAGAUGAAUUAA
Long non-coding RNA from Homo sapiens (human), 1490 nucleotides. NCBI's taxonomy places the organism in Eukaryota, Metazoa, Chordata, Mammalia, Primates, Hominidae. The record is from Ensembl.